Long non-coding RNA from Glycine soja, 2666 nucleotides. RefSeq lists it as uncharacterized. Lineage: Eukaryota; Viridiplantae; Streptophyta; Magnoliopsida; Fabales; Fabaceae. The record is from RefSeq and is a predicted model, not a curated record. The transcript is spliced from 3 exons.
AUGCGGAAAUCUGGUAUACGACGCCGUUGGUGUCUUGUCUCGCCCGAAACGAUUUCUAUUGUUGCAGCCAAGUGGUCGCUCAUUGCUUUUCCCUUUCCUCAAAUUUGUUCGCCCAAAAAUGGAUUCCAACAAUGAGAAACGACCAGCAUCAAGAGUCUCAUUCUGCCAAAGAAAGAAGUCUGGGAACGGGAGCUUUGUGUCUAAUUUAAGAAAUCACUUUCAUGAAUUUAUACACGCUUCUUCGGAUGAACACAAGAGAUGCUUGAGAAACACAAUUCAAAAGAUAUUAGAUGCAUCAAAGAUUUUUGGGAAAAAUGGUGACAGCACAAAUGAAGGUGAGUAUGUACCCCUUCAGUCAUCUACAAAGAACUAAAAAAGGCUUUCUCGAUUCCAUCAUCAUCAGUAGAGUGUUAGAAGAGUUUAUAAGAUAUGUUACGGCCUUAGAACGCUUGAUUUUUCUUUACUACAGCAUAAUAGAUUUGCAAUGCAUUCGUUUUGUCAUUUGAUUGAAUUUUUCUUUCAUAAUGUAUGGAUUGCCUGCAAUUGUUUACGACUUAAACAUACUUAACAAUGUGUUAGGUAUAGAAGAAACAUAUUUCACUUUUUCUGAUUUUCUUCUCCUGCAAGUACUUGUGGAGAGGCUUAUCCAACUAUCAUUGAAGUCAAGUAGGACUUUGCUUUAUGGUUGCAUGUGAUUGUAGAAUUUGAAUUUGUAGCUCCGUAGUUAGCAUGCUAAACUGAAGUCAACAUUAAUUUCUCUGUUAUUUACUUGAUAUUUCGAUCCUGUUUCAGUCCUCAUACAAGUAGUUUGUGGUUAAUGCUCAAUUUGCCAAAAUAAGAAUUUGCAGGCUUGCAGCAAAGCUUAUAUAGUUUAAGCCUUUUAUCUAUCCUUAUAUAUAAAAAAAAGAGAUGUCAUUAUGAAUGGUAAGCAUCAAAGAAAUUUAUUACAGAGAAUUCUGAGGAAAAACAAAAGUUACUGAUGGUCGAUGCUAAAAUGAGUUCUCGAAAAAUGGUGUUCUUCUUCACUUUGAAAGUCAUUCUUCCUCCAGAGUUUUAAAUCCCUCAGCCUGUACAUAAUUUGUAACCCAAAAAAAUUACAGUUAGUGAACACAGCCUCCCUCUUCCGUUUAGGUAUGCAUUAAACAUCAUCAUGAAGUAUAUUGGUCUUAAAUCUAGUCAAUAAGAUAUUCAUUAGAAUUACACUAAGUGUAAAUAGUUUCCGGUUGUGGUUUUGUUUGUACACUAUACAUGUUAGUAAACAUGGUUGAGUCCAAAAGAGAAGAGAGAAAAUCAGUGAAUUUGAAUCGAUUGAAAUGAGAAAGAUAAUUACAUCAAAAUACCUACUUGGCUUAUAUACAACGUGAAAAUUAACAAACUAGUUUAUAAAAUAAUAAGGUAAAAUGAAUUAAGUUUCUUCCAUUAAGUUAAAAUUAAUUUAUACAUAACUAAUUUAUAAAACUUUCCGAUUUAGUUUCUUCAAAAGUUAAUUUUACCUUGUGGGAAAACUUAAUUUACUUUAUCUUCUUAUUUCUUCUCCUAUUUACUAAUAAAUUUAUCAAAACAUCACCUAUAUUUCUAACAAUAUGCACUAGUCAGAGUGAAGUAACCGGUGCUAUUUGCUUUCAAACUAUAUGCACAUGGCUUCAGUUUUUGAUGUAGUUUAAGAGGUUGGGUAGACAGCCAACUUGUACUAACUGUCCUAGACUUUCUUGUUAUAAUUCUCGUAAAAUAUUAUUCUCUUUGGAGAUGAGUAUCACCACCAGGCCCUACUAGGCAGCUAGAGGAUUAAUAGCCAUUGAUCACUUUUAGGAAGUAACAUAAAUCAGCAUCAGCGAGGGCAUCAUAUUGUGGUAUUGAUCAGUUUUUAGCUAGAGGAUAAACCGUGAUUUGAAAAAUGGGGCAUAACAUGAAUCAGUGAAGUCAUACAUAUUGGAAAUAGUAUCAUUGAGAGAAGAACAAUUCUACUUAUGGGAGAAUAAAAGAAUUGUUUCCAUAAUAAUGCUAAAGGGGGAAUCAUAUAUGUUACCUUUGUUCUGCACUGCUAAUGUUUAGUUUGCUACAUCCAGCAUUUCUAGUGUAAGCAGGUAGGGGAACCUUGCCUGACUCAAUGUUUUUGAUGUCCUCUAGGAGUAUCUCAUAUUGUCUCUUGACUUGAACUUCAGUUGUGCCUCCAACAAACAUGGCUAUGUUGUUCCAACGCUCAGGGGUAUCCUUGUCAUAUAUAGCCAAGGCAUUCUCAAACAGUUUGUUCUUCUCACUUGUCCAUCUAAGACUGGUGUCAGGAGAAGAAAGUGUGCUGGUUGUCAUUGCUACAAAAAUGAUUUCAGAUUGGAACAAAGGGAAAAUCCUGUGGACAUAUAGUCACUAAAUUAGGAAGAAUCUUUGACUGCAAAAAGGGGAAGUUAAAUGAGUGAGAAAGCAAUGGGUUAGAACUGUAGAAGACUGGUGUGAAACACAAGGGAGUAGGAAGUUGCUGAUGAAUAUUAUAAGGAACACUAGAUUCAAGAAAUGACACUGCGAAACUAGUAAUUGGUGCUCCAUUUAAACUAUAUAUGGAAAGUUUGCAAGUUGUCAAACAAAAGUACAAGUUAUUAAUACUGUUGUUAUAUAAUAUGAUGAUUGUGCAGCAGGGAGAUUAAUGAAAGGAUUCAAGUUCUGAAGAUUAA